AAACUGUGGGGACACAGGCAGAGAGCGUGAGCCGGGAAUGGAAAGACCGGUACAAGCGAGGUAGGAGAAGAGUUGGCAAAUCCGCUCUUUAAUCUGAAGACGUGAUGUGGACUGAAAAUAAGUAGGGAAGCACGUGAGCUGACUGUCAAGAAAAGCCGCUAUUGUUUGCAGGAUACCCGUACCGUAAACCGACACAGGUGGAUGAGGAGAGAAUCCUAAGGCCGACGGGAGAAGCAUUGUUAAGGAACUCGGCAAAAUGACUCCGUAACUUCGGGAGAAGGAGUGCCAGUAAGAUGGCCGCAGAGAAUUGGCCCAAGCAACUGUUUAGCAAAAACACAGGUCUAUGCAAAACCGAAAGGUGAGGUAUAUGGGCUGACGCCUGCCCGGUGCUGGAAGGUUAAGGGGAGAGGUUAGCGCAAGCGAAGCUUUGAACUUAAGCCCCAGUAAACGGCGGCCGUAACGAUAACGGUCCUAAGGUAGCGAAAUUCCUUGUCGGGUAAGUUCCGACCCGCACGAAAGGCGUAAUGAUUUGGGCACUGUCUCAACAAUGCACCCGGUGAAAUUGAAAUACCAGUGAAGAUGCUGGUUACCUGCGCCAGGACGGAAAGACCCCAUGGAGCUUUACUCCAGCUUGAUACUGGGAUUCGGUAUUGCAUGUACAGGAUAGGUGGGAGGCUAGGAAAUGGUAACGCCAGUUGCCAUGGAGCCAAUGUUGGGAUACCACCCUUGCAGUACUGGGUUUCUAACCAGCAGCCGUGAUCCGGCUGGGGGACAAUGUCAGGUGGGGAGUUUGACUGGGGCGGUCGCCUCCGAAAGGGUAUCGGAGGCGCUCAAAGGUUCCCUCAGAAUGGUUGGAAACCAUUCGAAGAGUGCAAAGGCAGAAGGGAGCUUGACUGCGACACCGACGGGUGGAGCAGGUACGAAAGUAGGACUUAGUGAUCCGGUGGUAUAAAGUGGGAUUGCCAUCGCUCAACGGAUAAAAGCUACCCUGGGAUAACAGGCUUAUCACUCCCAAGAGUUCACAUCGACGGAGUGGUUUGGCACCUCGAUGUCGGCUCAUCGCAUCCUGGGGCUGAAGUAGGUCCCAAGGGUUGGGCUGUUCGCCCAUUAAAGCGGUACGCGAGCUGGGUUCAGAACGUCGUGAGACAGUUCGGUCCCUAUCCGGCGUGGGCGUAAGAUAUUUGAGAGGAGCUGUCCUUAGUACGAGAGGACCGGGAUGGACUGGCCGCUGGUGUAUCUGUUGUCUUACCAAAGGCAUAGCAGAGUAGCCAAGCCGGGAAGGGAUAAACGCUGAAGGCAUCUAAGCGUGAAGCCCCCCUCAAGAUGAGAUAUCUCAUAACGUCAAGUUAGUAAGACCCCUUGAAGACGACGAGGUAGAUAGGGCAGAGGUGGAAGUGUGGUAACACAUGGAGCUGACUGUUACUAAUAGGUCGAGGGCAUAACCU
Molecule: ribosomal RNA, 1445 nt
Filed under: metagenome
Description: bacterial LSU rRNA
Rfam family: Bacterial large subunit ribosomal RNA
Source: RNAcentral